Molecule: ribosomal RNA, 1123 nt
Filed under: uncultured bacterium
Lineage: Bacteria
Description: bacterial SSU rRNA
Rfam family: Bacterial small subunit ribosomal RNA
Source: RNAcentral
GGCAAGUGAGGAUGGCUCACACAUGCAGUCGAUUCAAGUUACCUUCGGGUAAUGAGGAUGGCGGACGGGUGAGUAACGCGUAAGGAACUUGCCUCUUGGACUGGGACAACUGUUGGAAACGACAGCUAAUACCGGAUAUUAUGAGAUUCUCGCAUGAGAAACUUAUGAAAGCUAUAUGCGCCAAGAGAGAGCCUUGCGUUCCAUUAGCUAGUUGGUGGGGUAACGGCCCACCAAGGCGACGAUGGAUAGCCGGCCUGAGAGGGUGAACGGCCACAAGGGGACUGAGACACGGCCCUUACUCCUACGGGAGGCAGCAGUGGGGAAUAUUGGACAAUGGGCCACAAGCCUGAUCCAGCAAUUCUGUGUGCACGAUGAAGGUCUUCGGAUUGUAAAGUGCUUUCAGUUGGGAAGAAGAAAGUGACGGUACCAACAGAAGAAGCGACGGCUAAAUACGUGCCAGCAGCCGCGGUAAUACGUAUGUCGCAAGCGUUAUCCGGAUUUAUUGGGCGUAAAGCGCGUCUAGGCGGAAAAAUAAGUCUGAUGUUAAAAUGCGGGGCUCAACUCCGUAUUGCGUUGGAAACUGUUUUUCUAGAGUACUGGAGAGGUGGGCGGAACUACAAGUGUAGAGGUGAAAUUCGUAGAUAUUUGUAGGAAUGCCGAUGGAGAAGUCAGCUCACUGGACAGAUACUGACGCUGAAGCGCGAAAGCGUGGGGAGCAAACAGGAUUAGAUACCCUGGUAGUCCACGCCGUAAACGAUGAUCACUAGGUGUUGGGGGUCGAACCUCAGCGCCCAAGCUAACGCGAUAAGUGAUCCGCCUGGGGAGUACGCACGCAAGUGUGAAACUCAAGGAAUUGACGGGGACCCGCACAAGCGGUGGAGCAUGUGGUUUAAUUCGACGCAACGCGAGAAACCUUACCAGCGUUUGACAUCCUAAGAAGUUUCCAGAGAUGGAUUCGUGCCGGCUUGCCGGAACUUAGUGACAGGUGUUGCAUGGCUGUCGUCAGCUCGUGUCGUGAGAUGUGGGUUAAGUCCCGCAACGAGCGCACCCUAUGAUGUGGCUACCAUAAGUGACACUCAUGCGAUACUGCCUGCGAUGACCAGAGGAAAGGGGGGGAAUGACG